UUUUUUUAAUGAUGGAAUCGUAGAAACCAAAAUCCUAUAGGAUUGAGAAGGUCAUGUCAUAUCAAUCCUAUGUUUUCACGUUUUCUAUAUAGAAUCAAAGAGUCCCUAGUUUCGAAAGACCUGUGAUAACAGUGUGGUCAGGCAGCUCCCCUACCUUUCCCUUCCCCUCCCGCGUAAGUAAACAGCCUGCUGAUCUGACCCUGUACCUUCCCUGGCCAAGUUCAGUGAGAAGAAUCCCAAUCCGCGACGAUCGACGGGAACCAAAAUCACCCCAGAAUCUAGCAAGCAGCAGACAGCACAGCACAAGCACAUCGAUCGCCCCCGCACGUCGCCCACUCCCCCACGCCUCCCUUCUCCCCGGCGCGCGCAGCCCACCUCCCUCCAUCUUCUGGUCAAACGGCUCUCCGCUCCAAUCCCCCGACCCUCUCUUCCCUCCGACCGCGCCCGUCCGGCGGCCGCAACCGGUUUCCAUGUCCGCCGCCGCCACCGCCGCCGAAUCCCGUACGUAAAACCCUCUCGAGCUUCAUUAAAACUGUGGUCGCCCCCGCGCCGAUGAUGGUCCAUUGACUCGUUCCACCAUUUUGUUUUCCUUUUUUUCCCGCAGCGGAGCGGCGGCGAUCGGAGGCCGUCGCGUGGCUGCGCGCGCUGCUCCGGGAGUCGGCGCUGCCGCUCCCGCCGCCGCGCGCCUCGGACGACGAGCUCCGGGCCGCGCUCGCGGACGGCGCGCUGCUCCGCGCCGCGCUCGACAAGCUCGCCCGCCCCGCUUCCCCGCGCGGCGACGAGGUNNNN
RNAcentral lists this long non-coding RNA (789 nucleotides) under Hordeum vulgare. RNAcentral's name for it is "long non-coding RNA (HVUL_LNC019885)". Lineage: Eukaryota; Viridiplantae; Streptophyta; Magnoliopsida; Poales; Poaceae. The record is from RNAcentral.